RNAcentral lists this ribosomal RNA (440 nucleotides) under uncultured bacterium. RNAcentral's name for it is "partial 16S ribosomal RNA". It matches the Rfam family "Bacterial small subunit ribosomal RNA", at positions 338 to 795 of the family's 1533-position model. The record is from RNAcentral.
CCUACGGUAGGCAGCAGUGGGGGAUAUUGCACAAUGGGGGGAACCCUGAUGCAGCGACGCCGCGUGGGUGAAGGAGCGUUUCGGCGCGUAAAGCCCUAUCGGCAGGGAGGAAGAUGACGGUACCUGACCACGAAGCCCCGGCUAACUACGUGCCAGCAGCCGCGGUAAUACGUAGGGGGCAAGCGUUAUCCGGAUUUACUGGGUGUAAAGGGUGCGCAGACGGCAGUGCAAGCCAGGAGUGAAAGCCCGGGGCCCAACCCCGGGACUGCUUUUGGAACUGAAUGGCGGGAGUACGGGAGGGGCAGGCGGAAUUCGUAGUGUAGCGGUAAAAUGCGUAGAUAGUAGGAGGAACACCGGUGGCGAAGGCGGCCUGCUGGACUGUGACUGACGUUGAGGCCCGAAGGCGUGGGGAGCAAACAGGAUUAGAUACCCGGGUAGUC